This 249-nucleotide non-coding RNA is filed under the name Clostridium felsineum. Its description in RNAcentral is "Clostridium roseum T-box sequence". It matches the Rfam family "T-box leader". From Rfam's summary of the family: Uncharged tRNA acts as the effector for transcription antitermination of genes in the T-box leader family. The record is from RNAcentral. Lineage: Bacteria; Bacillati; Bacillota; Clostridia; Eubacteriales; Clostridiaceae.
UUAAAUACUGUGAUAAGAAAUAGUAACAUAAAUGUAAACCUAAAAGAGAGAUCUCCUUGGCUGAAAGAGAUUAGGUCUAAGUUUAUGUGAAUGCAUCUUUGAGUACUGCUUCGAAAUGUAAAAAUAGUAGACGGCAGCGGGUACGCCCGAUUAAAGCGUUAAGGUAUUUUGUACCGAAGUAAAUGAGUUGUCAUGUUGCUUUAAUGUGAUAAUUAGAGUGGAACCGCAAAAAAAACUUUUGCCUCUAUA